UGCAUACUUAGGCCCCACCUCCUUGCUCUAAGGUUCCAUGUUGUUGAAAUUGGACUCACAGCUGGAGGGUUGGAUGGCUUCCUGAUGUCCUCCACCCAGCUUGGCUUGGGGACACAAAGCAGGAGACUGGGGUAGAGUGGCCCUGUAACAGUGAACAGCAGCACCAGGAUCUUGGGACUCUUGAGAACAGCAAAUCCUCACCUAUGCUUUAUGGGACUUAAUUUGGAGGAAACACAGCUGGGUGCAUGGAGAUACUGGAGGCAGGAGGACCGUUGGGGAGAGAGCUGGCAUUACAAGCAUGUACACCUGGCUUCACGUGGUUCUGGGAACUUAACCUAUGAUUUGGUGCAAGCUAAUCCAGCACUCCCCAACAGGGACCAGAAACCAAUCUCCAGAUGAAACAAAGGUGCAUCUCUCCAGCUCUAAGGUUGAGAAACCACUGGCCUAAAUCCAAAUGAGGUACAGACACUUUCAUGGCAACCAGCUGGCAUGGGCAUGGCCCUUUCCUUCUUGAAGGGAGAUCUGAGCUGUGCAUUACCAUGGUUACCGCUUCUAUUGAAGUCCAGGUCAAAUAGAAUCCUGUGUUUGCUCCAUAUGAUUGAUUCUAAGAGCUUAAAUAAAACUUGUAGACUCCC
Molecule: long non-coding RNA, 635 nt
Filed under: Cricetulus griseus (Chinese hamster)
Lineage: Eukaryota; Metazoa; Chordata; Mammalia; Rodentia; Cricetidae
Description: lncRNA (ENSCGRG00015031019.1)
Source: RNAcentral